Long non-coding RNA from Panthera uncia (snow leopard), 398 nucleotides. RefSeq lists it as uncharacterized. The record is from RefSeq and is a predicted model, not a curated record. NCBI's taxonomy places the organism in Eukaryota, Metazoa, Chordata, Mammalia, Carnivora, Felidae. The transcript is spliced from 2 exons.
CGCAGGAGAGUCAGCUGGGAAAUGUAGUUCUCCGCGUCCCGCUCCUCUCCACUGCGGUGCGGACGGUAGCGACUUUCGGGACCACGAGAUCCUCCAUAGCCGAAGACCGGAGGGAGGAAAAGGGCAGGAGAAAGAGAGGUCAUCCCCGCAGGCCUCCUGGCACCGAAAUAUCCAACUAUGCCGCUGGAUACAGUAUUCCUCCACUCCGACGGUGUGAAAGUGCCCGACAGUGCUUAGAGGAGCAUCGUUAACUCAGCCAGGGGAGUCAAGGGAGAACAUCAAGAAGCUCUACUGGAAGGAUGUCUUGAAUAUAGCCCAAGUCUCCAGGAUAUUUUGUUCUUUCUCUGAUCUCUGCCUGUCUCAAACCUGUUUGUGAAAACCAGACUUGGGGAACUCUA